Molecule: non-coding RNA, 24 nt
Filed under: Rattus norvegicus (Norway rat)
Lineage: Eukaryota; Metazoa; Chordata; Mammalia; Rodentia; Muridae
Source: RNAcentral
GUUAGACAUACCUAAAGAAGUAGU